GGGCUCGGCCCCGGGGCCGCUCGUCCCCGCCGGCCGACCGAUCGACCCCUCCGCUCUCCCUCCUCGGCCCGGGCCCGCGACUGCCUCUCACCUGUGCCGCCGCCGAGCCUCGUCGCGGCCGCCCGGCUUCGCUGAGGGAGCGCGAGCGCGAAGCGGCGCCGCGUAGGAAAGGGACGCGGUGCUCAGGGCCCGACCCUCGGCCCCUCGCGCCCGCCCGCCCCGCUCAGGGGUAGCGCUCCCGGGCUGGAGGCGAUUGUUUGGGCACAACGGCAUCUGCGGCGUCACGGCCCCCAGCGUUCCACCCGGGCUCCGGCAAAAUGGCUCUCCAUGCGCCAAGAAAGGAGAACGCCGCGGCUGGAGCCCGUCCCGCAGCUCCCGGUUGCAAAACAUCUGUAUUCCCAACUAGUUUGUUUAUGGACUUUCUGAUGGCAAGGAGGCAGAAGAGUAGCAGAACUACUUAGAGCAAUUCCAUUACCCAAAAAAGCUGUCUCUAAGGUCUGCGGCAUUUAACAGACUCCCUUCAAAUUUGAUUUCACCAGAGAAAGGGAACAAGCAAAACCUUCCAAAGUAGAAGCUGAACUAUUCAAAGCUCACCUGAAGUGAAACAAGAUGGACACCCUCUGAGGUUGCACAGCAGCCUCAAUGCCAGCAGCAGUGAUGCCAGAGCCAGCCGAGGAAAAGCCCUUGUGUCAGCACUGGACAUUUCCUCCAGAACAGAUACUGUGGUGGGAUGAGGAGGAUGUACAGAGCAAGCUGUUACCAUGGUUCAGUCAACUCUUUUCCAAGAUGAUGGGAAAGGUUCCUGGAACACUCCACAGCCUCCAUCUUGGCCAUGUACACAGAACUUACUAGUCACCUGUAAUACCACCUGCAAGCCUGUUUGGUAUCCAGAAGUUAUUCGUAUAAUAUUUGGCUUUAUCCAUAGCAACACUUACUGUUGUCUGUCUUGCAUUUACUCUUUAUAUAAGAACUAGCACAUCUGAAUACACGUCCAACAGAUGCAUAAUGCCAUCUUGUGACAGUACUGCAAUAGUACACCAGACUCCAACACAGCUUCCGCACAGCGGUCAUCAGUUGUUCACAGGCCCUUAGGAGUAUACAUUAUUUCCAGAAUAUACGAUGAAGACCUAAGGAAAGCACAUAAACAUUAUACAGCAGUCUCUGUAUCUGACAACAGUAAAGUGUCUGUUUGUAUUUUCAUCAAGAAGUAUUUGGAAGUUUUUCAGUGAAGUAGGUACUAAAAGCACGUAAGUGCUUUUGUUUUCAAGAAUGUACUAACAUUAUUUAAAGUGACAUCAGUUCUUUAAAACCAUUACUGCUUUAAUAAGCAAUUAAAAUGAAGCAGAAGAUUUUUUCAUAGAAAAUAUUGACACAAAUCUGUAGUAGCAGCAGUUUUUAAUUUACCAAAAACUGGCAUCUAUUAGCAACAGGACAUACAUAAAAAUGUUUGUUUAUACAAAUAAAAUUAGGUUCUGAAUAUUCACAAAGUGACAUGACAGAGCAACAUUCUUACUCAUACUGACAUUUAGUCUGAUCAGUUGUGAUAUAAAAACCCUGUAUAAUAUUCAGUCAAGCACCAUGGCAGACAGUGCAUUAAGAUCUCUCAUGAAUGGAUGAUCAGCUAAUAUUUUAUCAAUCUUUUGUCUUUGCUCAUAAUCAGGAAAUAUUUUUAUCAGGGCUUCUCUUAGCCAUACUGUUUCUGAGGCAGAUCUUUGUGGUGGAAUUGACAGACAAGCCUUCAUAUUUGUAUCCAAUGGAAGCCAUGCUGCUGAAUGAUCACCAUGUGCUCGAUUUUUAGGCUGUUGACUGCUGCUGGCUGGAUUGGGAACGUGCAUGAAGAGAGGUGUCUCAGAAGAAUAUUGCUCUCUGCUCUGUAAAGCUUUUUGUGCUGACAGAAAAUCUCUAGGGAAUAAAAUGAAAGUUUUGAUUAAAUUGAGAUAGAGCAAACACUGGUUCUGUACAGCCACAGAAAAGAAAAAAAGCCUACAACUCCUAUUCUUCAUUGAUUGCUCAGUUACUGACUCAAAAAAUAUGAAUCACUUCACUCCCAAGUGAAACAAAACUGUAGGUAUAACAUUUUUCAGCUUGAAUCUGGCAUGACUAACAAUAUUAACCAACAUUACCCAGGACUUGUUCCAAUACGCCAUGAGCACUAUGACACCUACCUGGCAGAGUAUAGCAACAGUCAAAGCUCAUUUACUGGAAAUAUCCACACAAAUAUCAUUGAUCUAAAUGGAUUAAAAGAUGUGUUGAACAUAUAUAUACACACUGAUUGAGAAUGUGAAAAUAUGGACAGACUGCAGACACUUCAGCCAUUCCACAAGAUCAUUCUUCAUCUAUUUGUGCCCACAUUUGUCAGCUGUGCCCACAUUUCAGAUUGUACAAUGAGAAAAACAUAGCCUUAUAUCUUUAAUGGGGCAAUGAAGUUUUUCAGCAAUUUUAGGAUCUGAAUAUUCUCUUAAUUAUUGAGAUUUCAUUUCAGACUAUUUAAGAAGUUGAUGCUAUUCAAAACUGCUAUCAAUUUAGAGCCAAUUCCACUUCACAUGCCACCACAUAACGCAGAAAUAUGAACUAGAACUCUCAUUACAGUUCAUUCUCCUGCUACCAAGGGAAAUUGUAUUAAAAUUACAGAGCUCUAUUUUAAAAGUUAUACAUUAAUCCAGUUAUAAUUGUUAGGCUGGUGAAAAAAGGAAAGGGAAGCCUAAUUCUUGUUUGAAAGAACAAAUCCAUUUUCAAAUCUUGGCACAUAAAGCAGAGCAAAUUCAUCCUUCUGAAAUACAUGCAUAUUUAAAGAGUACAAUAAUAACAACAAGCUUAUUAAUAUUUAACAUUGUAAAUCAAGUACAAAUGCUUUUAAAUAGCAGCACCCCUCCAAAAUGGUUUUAUUAACAGUACCAUAACCACAUGUGAAAUGAAAUGCCUCUCACAUGACAAAGGAUAUGAAUCUAGUGUUUCUUCUGUGGUAACUACUGCUCACCUAUUAAUACUGAGCAAGUGUAUUUUAGAUACCACCACUGUAAUUGGAAGGACACCAGACUACCACAUACCUCAACUACCAGUAGGUUUGUGCAAUAAUGACACAGUUUGGACCACCUUUGUAUGAAAAUCACCACAGUGAAACCUCAGAGGAAGUUAUUUGAGGCAUUUGUCUUACUUAUUUCAGUUGUGAGAGAGAUGGUGAUGCAAAUGUCACCAGCACUUUCUGAACAGACUGCAGUAACAGGAAAAAAAUACCCAUGUUUUUAAGCUACUACCUGCUAGCUUUCUUGUCUGAUUUUACUGUACCCUUUACUGUACCUAUAUUGCUCUACAGAAAUGUUCAAGUGAGCCACAGUUUAUUUCCCAGCCACAGUUGAUUAUCUGAAAUCAUAACUGUCUUGAACAGAAGUGAAAACAGAGCUUAUACCUAGAACAGCCUUCACUUUGAAGGAAGUCAUCUAAUCUGGGUCCAUUUCGCCCCAAGGGAUCAUCAGGAACCAUAAAAAUGUCCCCAGCAAAAGUGUACUGGAGCAACCUGCAAGAGAGUUCUUCCAUUAUUCUUUACUAACAAUGUAUUCUCCCCUUCCCACCCUUCAUCUCCAUAAAACAGCAGUAUGGACUGUUUGCUCUAGGCACAUACAACAUCAGGAGUUACUGAAGCUUAACUAGUGAAUACCCAUUUUAAUUGCAGCCAGCAUUCACUAUCAAAGUAACUUUAAGGAAACGUAUGUACACUGCUCUUAUUUGUACUGCAAAACACCGAGGUGGUUGUUGUUUUUUUUCCUUUCCUUUUACAAACAGCAUGUCAGGUGACUGCAGGUUUUUUUUUUUUUCUUCUUACAGAGACCAGCAUGGAAUUUUCCAGAUGAUUACAGAAGGUUUUCUGGUUGUUCAGACUCCCCUUCUUUAUAAGGAUCUUCAAACACAAAGCAAUUAGUGCUUAUGUUAUCAGAAAGCCACACAACUAGCAAACAUUGUUAGAUGCCUAUGGUUGAAACAGAAAAGCUUUUUUUUUCUCUGGAAUCAUUUUAGGCCGGUGGAAAAUCUGCAUUCAGGGAAACUCGUUCAACUAAAAUCUGUCUGUGAGGAAAUUUGGUAUAGUGGAAUUUCCCCAGAAGUAAAACUAACAGCACAUGUUAACACAUGAUCUUAAGAAAAAAAUAAAAGCACACACACUAAGAAUGACA
Gallus gallus (chicken) is the source of this 4166-nucleotide long non-coding RNA. RefSeq lists it as uncharacterized. The transcript is spliced from 5 exons. The record is from RefSeq and is a predicted model, not a curated record. Lineage: Eukaryota; Metazoa; Chordata; Aves; Galliformes; Phasianidae.